Molecule: ribosomal RNA, 468 nt
Filed under: uncultured bacterium
Lineage: Bacteria
Description: partial 16S ribosomal RNA
Rfam family: Bacterial small subunit ribosomal RNA
Source: RNAcentral
GACGAACGCUGGCGGCGUGCUUAACACAUGCAAGUCGAACGGAAAGGCCCUGCUUUUGUGGGGUGCUCGAGUGGCGAACGGGUGAGUAACACGUGAGUAACCUGCCCUUGACUUUGGGAUAACUUCAGGAAACUGGGGCUAAUACCGGAUAGGAGCUCCUGCUGCAUGGUGGGGGUUGGAACGUUUCGGCGGUUGGGGAUGGACUCGCGGCUUAUCAGCUUGUUGGUGGGGUAGUGGCUUACCAAGGCGUUGACGGGUAGCCGGCCUGAGAGGGUGACCGGCCACAUUGGGACUGAGAGACGGCCCAGACGCCUACGGGAGGCAGCAGUGGGGAAUAUUGCACAAUGGGCGGAAGCCUGAUGCAGCAACGCCGCGUGCGGGAUGACGGCCUUCGGGUUGUAAACCGCUUUCGCCUGUGACGAAGCGUGAGUGACGGUAAUGGGUAAAGAAGCACCGGCUAACUACGUG